Molecule: ribosomal RNA, 499 nt
Filed under: uncultured bacterium
Lineage: Bacteria
Description: bacterial SSU rRNA
Rfam family: Bacterial small subunit ribosomal RNA
Source: RNAcentral
UAGUCCACGCCGUAAACGAUGUUCACUCGCUGUUUGGGAUACACACUAAGCGGCCAAGCGAAAGCAUUAAGUGAACCACCUGGGGAGUACGUUGGCAACAAUGAAACUCAAAGGAAUUGACGGGGACCCGCACAAGCGGUGGAACAUGUGGUUUAAUUCGAUGAUACGCGAGGAACCUUACCUGGACUUAAAUGUAGGCUGCAUAGAGUGGAGACAUUCUUUUCUUCGGACUGCUUACAAGGUGCUGCAUGGUUGUCGUCAGCUCGUACCGUGAGGUGUCGGGUUAAGUCCCGUAACGAGCGCAACCCCUAUUGUUAGUUGCCAGCAUUAAGUUGGGGACUCUAGCAAGACUGCCGGCGUAAGCCGCGAGGAAGGUGGGGACGACGUCAAAUCAUCAUGGCCUUUAUGCCUAGGGCCACACACGUGCUACAAUGGUACAUACAGAGGGUAGCGAGACGGUGACGUUGAGCCAAUCUCAGAAAGUGUAUCUCAGUUCGGA